UACGGAGGGAGCUAGCGUUGUUCGGAUAUACUGGGCGUAAAGCGCACGUAGGCGGCGCAGCAAGUCAGGGGUGAAAUCCCGGAGCUCAACUCCGGAACUGCCCUUGAAACUGCAGUGCUAGAAUCCUGGGGAGGCGAGUGGAAUUCCGAGUGUAGAGGUGAAAUUCGUAGAUAUUCGGAAGAACACCAGUGGCGAAGGCGACUCGCUGGACAGGUAUUGACGCUGAGGUGCGAAAGCGUGGGGAGCAAACAGG
RNAcentral lists this ribosomal RNA (253 nucleotides) under uncultured bacterium. Its description in RNAcentral is "partial 16S ribosomal RNA". It matches the Rfam family "Bacterial small subunit ribosomal RNA", at positions 524 to 776 of the family's 1533-position model. The record is from RNAcentral.